Non-coding RNA from Hemiscyllium ocellatum (epaulette shark), 440 nucleotides. Lineage: Eukaryota; Metazoa; Chordata; Chondrichthyes; Orectolobiformes; Hemiscylliidae. The record is from the annotation of a RefSeq genome assembly.
CGUGUGCAUUAUUUACUCUUGGACAACGUGCCAUGUAUUCACUGCAUACUUUAAUUAUAAUCAUGGCCAUGUUGUCUGGAACGACAGGCCAGGAUUCAGUUUCACAAGAUCCUCUUCAAUUGCAAGUUCAAGAAGGACAGACCAUAAAGUUGAAUUGCACGUACACGACAAAGUAUGGUGCACCAACCCUCUUCUGGUACAUCCAGUAUCCCGGGGAAUCUCUGGAAUAUUUACUGAGGAGGUUCGAUAAGGAAAAUGGAGAUACGUCUCCAAAGUUUUCUGAUCGGUUUUCUGCCUUUUUGGAAAAAGAUAAGAAAACAGUUCCAUUAAGCAUCACGGGAGUUCGUGUCUCCGACUCAGCAAUGUAUUACUGUGCACUGCUGCCCACAUUGUUACAGAAAUGCACUCAGCCCUUACAAAAAGAAACAAGAGACUCUUAG